AUUGAACGCUGGCGGCAUGGCUAAAACAUGCAAGUCGAACGCCUGUAGCAAUACAGGAGUGGCGAAAGGGCGAGGAAUAGAUUCCUACAUACCCCAUAGUCAGGGAUACCCCGGAGAAAUCCGGAUCAAUACCUGAUGAGGUCGAGAGAUCAAAGAUUUAUCGCUAUGGGAGUGGGGAAUCUCCUAUCAGGUAGUUGGUGAGGUAAUGGCUCACCAAGCCUAAGACGGGUAGCGGGUGUGAGAGCACGGCCCGCCGCAUCGAGACUGAGACACUGCUCGGACUCCUACGGGAGGCUGCAGUAACGAAUCUUCCGCAAUGCGCGAAAGCGUGACGGGGCAAUGCCGCGUGCAGGAUGAAGCCCUUCGGGGUGUAAACUGCUGUCAGGGUGCAGGAAAGAAAUGACCAUACCCAAAGGAAGCACCGGCUAACUCUGUG
RNAcentral lists this ribosomal RNA (436 nucleotides) under uncultured organism. RNAcentral's name for it is "bacterial SSU rRNA". It matches the Rfam family "Bacterial small subunit ribosomal RNA", at positions 30 to 507 of the family's 1533-position model. The record is from RNAcentral.